This 695-nucleotide ribosomal RNA is filed under the name Elizabethkingia anophelis. RNAcentral describes it as "bacterial SSU rRNA". It matches the Rfam family "Bacterial small subunit ribosomal RNA", at positions 1 to 694 of the family's 1533-position model. The record is from RNAcentral. Lineage: Bacteria; Pseudomonadati; Bacteroidota; Flavobacteriia; Flavobacteriales; Weeksellaceae.
AUACAAUGGAGAGUUUGAUCCUGGCUCAGGAUGAACGCUAGCGGGAGGCCUAACACAUGCAAGCCGAGCGGUAGAUUACUUUCGGGUAAUUGAGAGCGGCGUACGGGUGCGGAACACGUGUGCAACCUGCCUUUAUCAGGGGGAUAGCCUUUCGAAAGGAAGAUUAAUACCCCAUAAUAUAUUAUUCGGCAUCGGGUGAUAUUGAAAACUACGGUGGAUAGAGAUGGGCACGCGCAAGAUUAGCUAGUUGGUGAGGUAACGGCUCACCAAGGCGACGAUCUUUAGGGGGCCUGAGAGGGUGAUCCCCCACACUGGUACUGAGACACGGACCAGACUCCUACGGGAGGCAGCAGUGAGGAAUAUUGGACAAUGGGUGGAAGCCUGAUCCAGCCAUCCCGCGUGCAGGAAGACGGCCCUAUGGGUUGUAAACUGCUUUUAUCUGGGGAUAAACCUACUUACGUGUAAGUAGCUGAAGGUACCAGAAGAAUAAGCACCGGCUAACUCCGUGCCAGCAGCCGCGGUAAUACGGAGGGUGCAAGCGUUAUCCGGAUUUAUUGGGUUUAAAGGGUCCGUAGGCGGACUGAUAAGUCAGUGGUGAAAUCCGACAGCUUAACUGUCGAACUGCCAUUGAUACUGUUAGUCUUGAGUAAGGUUGAAGUGGCUGGAAUAAGUAGUGUAGCGGUGAAAUGCAUAGA